GGGGAUGUAGUUCAGUGACAGAGCACUUGCCUGCCAGGCACAAGGCCCUGGAUUCAAUCUCCUGCACUCCCC
RNAcentral lists this transfer RNA (72 nucleotides) under Fukomys damarensis (Damara mole-rat). It matches the Rfam family "tRNA". Rfam says of the family: Transfer RNA (tRNA) molecules are approximately 80 nucleotides in length. Their secondary structure includes four short double-helical elements and three loops (D, anti-codon, and T loops). Further hydrogen bonds mediate the characteristic L-shaped molecular structure. tRNAs have two regions of fundamental functional importance: the anti-codon, which is responsible for specific mRNA codon recognition, and the 3' end, to which the tRNAs corresponding amino acid is attached (by aminoacyl-tRNA synthetases). tRNAs cope with the degeneracy of the genetic code in two manners: having more than one tRNA (with a specific anti-codon) for a particular amino acid; and 'wobble' base-pairing, i.e. permitting non-standard base-pairing at the 3rd anti-codon position. The record is from Rfam by way of RNAcentral. Lineage: Eukaryota; Metazoa; Chordata; Mammalia; Rodentia; Bathyergidae.